This 254-nucleotide ribosomal RNA is filed under the name uncultured bacterium. RNAcentral's name for it is "partial 16S ribosomal RNA". It matches the Rfam family "Bacterial small subunit ribosomal RNA", at positions 524 to 776 of the family's 1533-position model. The record is from RNAcentral.
UACAGAGGGUGCGAGCGUUGUCCGGAAUCACUGGGCGUAAAGGGCGCGUAGGUGGUGGCUUAAGCGUGCGGUGAAAGCUCGGGGCUCAACCCCGAGUCGGCCGUGCGAACUGGGCUCACUGGAGCAUAGUAGAGGCAGGUGGAAUUCCGGGUGUAGCGGUGGAAUGCGUAGAUAUCGGGAGGAACACCUGUGGCGAAAGCGGCGCACUGGACCACAACUGACGCUGAGGCGCGAAAGCUAGGGGAGCGAACGGG